AUUGAACGCUGGCGGCAGGCUUAACACAUGCAAGUCGAACGAGUGGCGGACGGGUGAGUAAUGCUUGGGAAUAUAGCUUAUGGAGGGGGAUAACUACGGGAAACUGUAGCUACUACCGCGUACCAUAGGAUGAGCCCAAGUGGGAUUAGGUAGGUGGUGGGGAAAAGGCUCACAAAGCCGACGAUCUCUAGCUGGUCUGAGAGGAUGACCAGCCACAGUGGGACUGAGACACGGCCCAGACUCCGACGGGAGGCAGCAGUGGGGAAUAUUGCGCAAGGGGGGAAACCUGACGCAGCCAUGCCGCGUGAAUGAAGAAGGCCUUCGGGUUGUAAAGUUCUUUCGGUAGCGAGGCGUUAACUACAGAAGAAGCACCGGCUAACUCCGUGCCAGCAGCCGCGGUAAUUC
RNAcentral lists this ribosomal RNA (405 nucleotides) under uncultured bacterium. RNAcentral describes it as "partial 16S ribosomal RNA". It matches the Rfam family "Bacterial small subunit ribosomal RNA", at positions 30 to 526 of the family's 1533-position model. The record is from RNAcentral.